CCUACGGGGCGCAGCAGUGGGGAAUAUUGCACAAUGGGGGAAACCCUGAUGCAGCGACGCCGCGUGAGUGAAGAAGUACUUCGUUACGUAAAGCUCUAUCAGCAGGGAAGAAAAUGACGGUACCUGAGUAAGAAGCCCCGGCUAACUACGUGCCAGCAGCCCCGGUAAUACGUAGGGGGAAAGCGUUAUCCGGAUUUACUGGGUGUAAAGGGAGCGUAGACGGUGCGGCAAGUCGGGAGUGAAAUGCCGCAGCUUAACUGCGGAACGGCUUUGGAAACAGGCGAACUAGAGUGCGGGAGGGGGAGGCGGAAUUCCAGGUGUAGCGGUGAAAUGCGUAGAGAUUAGGAGGAAUACCGGUGGCGAAGGCGGCUUACUGGACCGUAACUGACGUUGAGGUUCGAAAGCGUGGGGAGCAAACAGGAUUAGAUACCCCUGUAGUC
RNAcentral lists this ribosomal RNA (440 nucleotides) under uncultured bacterium. Its description in RNAcentral is "partial 16S ribosomal RNA". It matches the Rfam family "Bacterial small subunit ribosomal RNA", at positions 338 to 795 of the family's 1533-position model. The record is from RNAcentral.